Molecule: ribosomal RNA, 672 nt
Filed under: Microchloa kunthii
Lineage: Eukaryota; Viridiplantae; Streptophyta; Magnoliopsida; Poales; Poaceae
Description: eukaryotic LSU rRNA
Rfam family: 5.8S ribosomal RNA (bases 245-400)
Source: RNAcentral
ACCUGCGGAAGGAUCAUUGUCGUGACCCUGACCAAAACAGACCGUGAACAUGUCAUCUAUUCUGCCGGUUGAUUGGGCUUGUACCUAUCUCUCGGUCUAGGCCACCGACCUUCUUUAGAAGGUACGGUGCCAAAAGAACCCACGGCGCUGUAUUGCGUCAAGGAAAACAAAUAUUGCCUUGCUUGGGGGCAAUGGCUGGCUUGCCGGACCAUACCCUUUGCAGCGAUGCUAUGGAAAUUCACAUGACUCUCGGCAACGGAUAUCUUGGCUCUUGCAUCGAUGAAGAACGUAGCAAAAUGCGAUACUUGGUGUGAAUUGCAGAAUCCCGUGAACCAUCGAGUUUUUGAACGCAAGUUGCGCCUGAGGCCUUUGGGCUGAGGGCACGUCUGCCUGGGCGUCACGUCAAAAGGCACUCCGCACCAAAAACAUGGUGGUCAGGAUGUGGUGUUUGGCCCCUCAUCCUAAAUCGGUGUGGUGGGCCAAAGAUGCGGCUGGUGGCAGUGCCGAUCACAGCACCUGGUGGAUGAUGCAAGUUAUUCUCAGUGUUAUGAUCUGGACAACUCCCGGUCAUGUGAGGGCCCUUUGAACCCAUGGUUUGUGGCGCUUGUCGCUUGCACCGCGACCCCAGGUCAGUCGGGACUACCCGCUGAAUUUAAGCAUAUCAAUAAGCGG